This 492-nucleotide ribosomal RNA is filed under the name uncultured bacterium. Its description in RNAcentral is "partial 16S ribosomal RNA". It matches the Rfam family "Bacterial small subunit ribosomal RNA", at positions 29 to 507 of the family's 1533-position model. The record is from RNAcentral.
AGUGAACGCUGGCGGUAGGCCUAACACAUGCAAGUCGAACGGCAGCACAGUAAGAGUUUGCUCUUACGGGUGGCGAGUGGCGGACGGGUGAGGAAUACAUCGGAAUCUACUUUUUCGUGGGGGAUAACGUAGGGAAACUUACGCUAAUACCGCAUAUGAUCCACGGGUGAAAGCAGUGGAUCUUCGGACCUUUCGCGAUUGAAUGAGCCGAUGUCGGAUUAGCUAGUUGGCGGGGUAAAGGCCCACCAAGGCGACGAUCCGUAGCUGGUCUGAGAGGAUGAUCGGCCACACUGGAACUGAGACACGGUCCAGACUCCUACGGGAGGCAGCAGUGGGGAAUAUUGGGCAAUGGGCGCAAGCCUGAUCCAGCCAUACCGCGUGGGUGAAGAAGGCCUUCGGGUUGUAAAGCCCUUUUGUUGGGAAAGAAAAGCAGCAGGUUAAUACCCCGCUGUUCUGACGGUACCCAAAGAAUAAGCACCGGCUAACUUCGUG